RNAcentral lists this long non-coding RNA (378 nucleotides) under Cyanistes caeruleus (blue tit). RNAcentral's name for it is "lncRNA (ENSCCEG00000019635.1)". The record is from RNAcentral. Lineage: Eukaryota; Metazoa; Chordata; Aves; Passeriformes; Paridae.
CAAACCAACAAAAACCCAGGCCUGCAGGCCUCAAGGGGAUUGUUCCAGCCCUGACUGCCAUCACCCCUUUAACUCCUGGCACCUGCUGCCUGCUCACAUUAAAAGGUUCAAACCCAGCAAUGAAGACACAGUUUCUGCAGUGAGGAGCUGGGUGUUGACUUGGUAACACUGGCAGAGAAAGGAGUAACACCUGAGACUGAUGAACACUGGAUGAAAGCUCCUGUGUGCUUCAGCUGUGGCUUUCACCAAGAAACCUUGGAGACAGUGCAGCUCCUGAUGGAAGCUCUCACAGCCCAUUCUAUGGCAGCUGCUGAAGCUGCAAAAUGAAGUGUGACCACCUAGUGGGAAGGAAGAAUGUGAACUCUGCCUCAUUUCUUC